GGUGCGUUAUCACCUUCCAAUUUAUCACUUCACCAGGCUUAAUACAUCUGGCCCAUAAUGCCAUGGCUGUAGGCAGGGGCGCAGCGCUGCGUGCUCAGGCCGCGGAGUAUAUGGCAGCUAGUGGCACCUUAAUAGCCUCGCGCUGGGAGAAUCUGUGCUUAAUAAUACCCCUGGCCUCAGUGCGAGGCAUCGGCCCACGUCCCCCUCCUGUAUAUCAGGCCUCAGUGCGAGGCAUCGGCCCACGUGUACCUCCUGUAUAUCAGAACUCAGUGCGAGGAGCCGGACCACGUCCCCCACCUGUAUAUCAUGCAUUGGGUAUAAUACCCUGGCCCUCAGUGUGAGGCGCCGCCACAGGUUCCCUCCUGUAUAUCGGGCAUUUGGGAUAAUACCCUGAGCUUCAGUGCAAGGCUCCGAACCAUGACCUCCUCCGGUAUAACAGGCAUUGGUGAUUAUACCCUGGCCCUCAGUGCGAGGCAUCGACCCACGUCCACUCCUAUGUAUCAGGCCUCAGUGCGAGGCACCGGCCCAUGUCCUUCUCCUGUAUAUCGGGCAUUUGGGAUAAUACCCUGAGCCUCAGUAUGAGGCACUGGGCCACGUCUCCCUCCUGUAUAUCAGGCAUUGGGAAUAAUACCCUGGCCCUCAGUGUGAGGCACCCGUCCACCUCCCCCUCCUGUAUGUGAGACAUUGGUGAUAAUACCCUUGCCCUCAGUGGGAGGUAUAUAUCGCCAUGCUGCUGAUAGUAUAUAUGUGUACUGUGCACAUAGCCAGAUUAAGGGGGGGAUGUUGGGCAUACUGCACCCUGGGCCCCCCUCUGUCAGAGGGCCCCCCCGGCCAGAGCACACUGACAUCACUAGCUUUCCCUCUUGUGCAGCAGCAGAACCAGACAGCCAGAAUGCGAGCAGGACAGUAUGCAGUGCAGGCAGAGAAAGGAGUAUCAGAUUUCAUGAACUAUCGAUGGAGCUUCCCGACCAGAGGGGAGAUAGAAGGGUGGAGAGAACUUGAAGUGACACAGGAUGGGAUCCCUGUGUCACUUACAGCUCUCUCCACACCUGGGUGUCUUGAGUCCUGUGUAACUUGUUAUCUAAUGAGGGUCUAGAGAGACACACACUCACUCAGAGUCCUCAUGAGUCCUGUCCCAGUGUAUGCUUUAUCCAGAUAUGUAAAGGUCGAUGUGGUACAAACUAUAUGACUUGUGACUGUCUCUUGUAGCAGCUGUCUGUUGACCAUUGAUACUGGAACCCAGUUCCACGGACAGCAGUUCCUGGGAGCAGCAUCAGUGGUACCUGGAGCAACACAGCAAUCAGUGGCUAUGAAAAUGGAGGCAGACCGGAGAGCUCCACCAGACAGCGGUGCCGCAGACAGGAGAAGUAGAGCAAUGGUGGCUUAGCAUUAGGAAGCGUGGCAGGCCCUAGGGAGGGGCGGAGAAGCACACAGAGGUCAGAGCUCAGCAGAAGGCAUCAGGUACAGGGGAUGACUACGUGGCCCAAAGAGGAUCCCCCGGACCACAGGAUUUAGAGAGAAUUAAACCGACUUCUCGUAUGCCGGCUGCUAAGGAGGCCCUCACCAUCCGGUAUGAUGCCCUUGGAGAGGACAGCAAUGCAGAACUGAGAAUGGAGACCAGAGCGAAGCUGGAGGUGCAUGUGCGAAAUCUGGAGGCGUAAGGGGUAUUUACACCGAGCCCCCAUAAUAUCCUAGAAGAGCCAGAAGAAGUUGAGGAAUCCCCAUAGAAGAAAAAGAUUAAAGAAGAACCAUUGGACUCAUAUGAGGAAGAGCCUUCAACAAGCACAGCUGAGCCUUCCAAGAAGAAGAAGAAAGAGAAGAUUAAUCAGGAGGAAGAGGAGGACUGAGGACUUUACCUGUAGGAACUGGUGAUCCUGUUGCUUGGUUUUGCAGCACUUUUCCAAAUGUGUGGAAAGGUGCCUUAUAUAUAUAUAUAUAUAUAUAUAUAUAUAUAUAUAUAUAUAUAUAUAUAUAUAUAUAUAUAUAUAUAUAUAUAUAUAUAUAUAUAUAUAUAUAUAUAUACUAACGAAAAUCAGUCCUUUGCACUAUAAUCCUCGGUUUUCCAGAAUAUUGUCCAAAUGCGCUUCAAUCCCCUCCGUGCCACCGGAGCAAUUGGAAACUGGUAAACAAAUUGGAGAGCGCAAAUAUAAGUAAUAAAAAGUAUAUAAUUUUACUUGUAAAAUCUGCUUACAUACAUUUCAGUUUAAAACAAACAGCAUAUGUGGACAGCUGCAACUUAGCCACUUCGUCCGUACUGCAGACUCCUCUCAACGCCCACUGGUCACGGUCAAUGACAUCACAACAUCCACGUCCAAGCCAUGUAUAUAUAAUCUCUUUGUUGAAUUAAUUGAUCUUUGUAAUAAGCCAAUGACGGUUGUCUUGUAAGAUGGAGACUCAGUCGCUGACUUUGUGUAUACAUUGGUUACAUUUAUGAUUAUGGUCCAUAUACAUUCCUAUCCAACAAAUACACUUCUAACCAUAA
Long non-coding RNA from Pseudophryne corroboree (corroboree frog), 2482 nucleotides. RefSeq lists it as uncharacterized. The record is from RefSeq and is a predicted model, not a curated record. NCBI's taxonomy places the organism in Eukaryota, Metazoa, Chordata, Amphibia, Anura, Myobatrachidae. The transcript is spliced from 7 exons.